UAAACUWUAAACUAGGAYUAGAUACCCUAUUAUUUUUAUUAAAUUGAACUUAAUUAUUUAUUAAAUGUAAAACAUUAAAAAUAAAAAAUUUGGCGGUACUUAAUAUUUAGAGGAACUUGUUUGUUAAAUUGAUAGUCCACGAAUGGAAAAACUUAAUUUAAUAAUUUUAUGUAUUGUUGUUGGAAAAUUGUAUUAAGAGAUAAAAAUUAAUAAAUUUAAUUAAAUUAUAAUUCAAAUCAAAAWGUAGAAUAAUUAAGAAUUUAAAUGAGUUACAAUUAAAUAAAUAAUAUUGAAUUUUAUAAUUUAAUUUAUAAAUGAAAAUGGAUUUAAAAGUAAAUUUAUAAAAAUAUAUAAUUGAAAAUGUUUUUGG
RNAcentral lists this ribosomal RNA (370 nucleotides) under Camponotus christi foersteri. Its description in RNAcentral is "partial 12S ribosomal RNA". Lineage: Eukaryota; Metazoa; Arthropoda; Insecta; Hymenoptera; Formicidae. The record is from RNAcentral.